AGUGAACGCUGGCGGCGUGCCUAAUACAUGCAAGUCGAACGCGAAAGUCCUUCGGGAUGAGUAAAGUGGCGCACGGGUGAGUAAUGCAUGAGAACAUACCCUUAGAUGGGGAAUAACGGUUGGAAACGAACGCUAAUACCGCAUAAUCUCGAGAGAGUAAAGGUGGCGCCGCAAGGGCUACCGUCUAAGGAUUGGCUCAUGUCCCAUUAGCUAGUUGGCGGGGUAAUGGCCCACCAAGGCAACGAUGGGUAUGUGGUCUGAGAGGAUGACCACACACACUGGAACUGAGACACGGUCCAGACUCCUACGGGAGGCAGCAGUAGGGAAUAUUGCACAAUGGGGGAAACCCUGAUGCAGCAACGCCGCGUGAGUGAAGAAGGCCCUUGGGUCGUAAAGCUCUUUAGCGAGGGAAGAGGGUAGAUACGGUGAAUAAUCGUGUUUGCUGACGGUACCUCGAGAAUAAGCACCGGCUAAUUUCGUGCCAGCAGCCGCAGUAA
This 497-nucleotide ribosomal RNA is filed under the name uncultured bacterium. RNAcentral describes it as "partial 16S ribosomal RNA". It matches the Rfam family "Bacterial small subunit ribosomal RNA", at positions 29 to 523 of the family's 1533-position model. The record is from RNAcentral.